GAUGAAGAACGUAGCGAAAUGCGAUAAGUAAUGUGAAUUGCAGAAUUCAGUGAAUCAUCGAAUCUUUGAACGCACCUUGCGCUCUUUGGUAUUCCGAAGAGCAUGCCUGUUUGAGUGUCAUGAAAAUAUCAACCUUGACUUGGGUUUUGUGCUCUAGUCUCGGCUUGGAAUUGGGUGCUUGCCGCUUUUACAAGCGGCUCACCUUAAAUGUAUUAGCUGGAUCUGUCUUUGAGACUAGGUUUGACUUGGCGUAAUAAGUAUUUCGCUAAGGACAUUCUUCGGAGUGGCCUCGUUUCUAGGACGCUUGUCCGCUUUCCAAUACAAGUUCCACCUCGUGGACAUGACUUUUUAUUAUCUGGCCUCAAAUCAGGUAGGACUACCCGCUGAACUUAAGCAUAUCAAUAAGCGGAGGA
This 413-nucleotide unclassified non-coding RNA is filed under the name soil metagenome. RNAcentral describes it as "partial contains 5.8S ribosomal RNA, internal transcribed spacer 2, and large subunit ribosomal RNA". The stretch from base 1 to 120 matches the Rfam family "5.8S ribosomal RNA", at positions 35 to 154 of the family's 154-position model. The record is from RNAcentral.